UGGGGAAUAUUGCACAAUGGGGGAAACCCUGAUGCAGCAACGCCGCGUGAGUGAUGACGGUCUUCGGAUUGUAAAACUCUGUCUUCAGGGACGAUAAUGACGGUACCUGAGGAGGAAGCCACGGCUAACUACGUGCCAGCAGCCGCGGUAAUACGUAGGUGGCAAGCGUUGUCCGGAUUUACUGGGCGUAAAGGGAGCGUAGGUGGAUAUUUAAGUGGGAUGUGAAAUACUCGGGCUUAACCUGGGUGCUGCAUUCCAAACUGGAUAUCUAGAGUGCAGGAGAGGAAAGUAGAAUUCCUAGUGUAGCGGUGAAAUGCGUAGAGAUUAGGAAGAAUACCAGUGGCGAAGGCGACUUUCUGGACUGUAACUGACACUGAGGCUCGAAAGCGUGGGGAGCAAACA
RNAcentral lists this ribosomal RNA (402 nucleotides) under bacterium. RNAcentral's name for it is "partial 16S ribosomal RNA". It matches the Rfam family "Bacterial small subunit ribosomal RNA", at positions 355 to 774 of the family's 1533-position model. RNAcentral also lists the same sequence under 2 other names. The record is from RNAcentral.